GCACUUAACCUCACUGUUCUUUUUUGACUUCUUUUUUCUCCAAUAACCUUGGAGGCAUGGUCGUUGACAGAAGAUAAGUCAAAAACGAACAGGAAGCCUCCCACUGGGAGGCUUUUUUAC
Vibrio anguillarum 775 is the source of this 120-nucleotide non-coding RNA. The record is from Rfam. Lineage: Bacteria; Pseudomonadati; Pseudomonadota; Gammaproteobacteria; Vibrionales; Vibrionaceae.